GCCCGCUCAGAAACUACAAAGGAAGUUAGACGGGGGCCCGGCACAAGCGGAGGAGCAUGUGGUUUAAUUCGAUGAUACGCGAGGAACCUUACCUGGGCUUAAAUGCUUAAUGACGUACUGGGAAACUGGUAUUUCUUCGGACAUUUUGUCAAGGUGCUGCAUGGUUGUCGUCAGCUCGUGCCGUGAGGUGUCGGGUUAAGUCCCAUAACGAGCGCAACCCUAUUGUUAGUUGCCAUCAGGUCAUGCUGGGGACUCUAACAAGACUGCCCGCGUAAGCGUGGAGGAAGGUGGGGAUGACGUCAAAUCAGCACGGCCCUCACGUCCAGGGCUACACACGUGCUACAAUGGCCGGUACAGAGGGCAGCCACUUGGUGACAAGGAGCAAAUCUCAAAAGCCGGUCUCAGUUCGGAUCGGAGUCUGCAACUCGACUCCGUGAAGUUGGAUUCGCUAGUAAUCGUAGAUCAGCAAUGCUACGGUGAAUACGUUCCCGGGCCUU
This 497-nucleotide ribosomal RNA is filed under the name uncultured Bacteroidota bacterium. Its description in RNAcentral is "bacterial SSU rRNA". It matches the Rfam family "Bacterial small subunit ribosomal RNA", at positions 903 to 1382 of the family's 1533-position model. The record is from RNAcentral. Lineage: Bacteria; Pseudomonadati; Bacteroidota.